Molecule: unclassified non-coding RNA, 518 nt
Filed under: Hevea brasiliensis (rubber tree)
Lineage: Eukaryota; Viridiplantae; Streptophyta; Magnoliopsida; Malpighiales; Euphorbiaceae
Source: RNAcentral
AACAGCAUUCACAAUUACUAGAUUCCUGUAUAUCACAAGCACACAUAAAGCAAACUGUGCUUUAUUGCCCAGCGCAGCUUUUAUCCCAAGCACUGACAAGAAUUUUCAAGAGUAAAAAAUUCAGCCUUAAACAACAACAAUCCCACUUUAACUGCGGCUCAUCUUUUAUAACCUAAAACAAUUCCUUUGUUGGAGGUAUUACUUCUCCAACAUUUGCUAUAAACUUGUCAAGGGAAACUUAAAAGGAUGCUAGAAUCAGAAUGAUGCAACUCCAACCUCUCAAAAAGAAGCCAUGGACCCAGAACAGAAUUUGGUUCAGAAUUUUCUCUAGAACACAUAACCAAUAUCAACUAUAACAGUAUAGUUAUUAUAUUGGUUUACUUGCCAAGAUAAACCACAGAGGUUUUUGCUUAUUGACAAAACCAACUUUAUCUGUCACGUGACAUGUCAUCAAUUUCAGAUUUUAGAGAAAGAUUCAUGCAUAUUACAAAGCUGAAAUAUAAUAACUUUGAUGAAGA